RNAcentral lists this ribosomal RNA (465 nucleotides) under uncultured Klebsiella sp. Its description in RNAcentral is "bacterial SSU rRNA". It matches the Rfam family "Bacterial small subunit ribosomal RNA", at positions 338 to 795 of the family's 1533-position model. The record is from RNAcentral. Lineage: Bacteria; Pseudomonadati; Pseudomonadota; Gammaproteobacteria; Enterobacterales; Enterobacteriaceae.
CCUACGGGAGGCUGCAGUGGGGAAUAUUGCACAAUGGGCGCAAGCCUGAUGCAGCCAUGCCGCGUGUGUGAAGAAGGCCUUCGGGUUGUAAAGCACUUUCAGCGGGGAGGAAGGCGGUGAGGUUAAUAACCACAUCGAUUGACGUUACCCGCAGAAGAAGCACCGGCUAACUCCGUGCCAGCAGCCGCGGUAAUACGGAGGGUGCAAGCGUUAAUCGGAAUUACUGGGCGUAAAGCGCACGCAGGCGGUCUGUCAAGUCGGAUGUGAAAUCCCCGGGCUCAACCUGGGAACUGCAUUCGAAACUGGCAGGCUAGAGUCUUGUAGAGGGGGGUAGAAUUCCAGGUGUAGCGGUGAAAUGCGUAGAGAUCUGGAGGAAUACCGGUGGCGAAGGCGGCCCCCUGGACAAAGACUGACGCUCAGGUGCGAAAGCGUGGGGAGCAAACAGGAUUAGAUACCCGGGUAGUC